ACCCACUCGCUGGUGAGCUCUGCGAGAGUGUGCUCCUCUCCGUCCCUGGAGCGCCGCAGCGUGCUGGUGCAUAGUAGGCGUCUGUCCAUGUCUGUCUAGUUGAAUUUCCUGAGAGUCAUUGGACCUUCUCAGCAGCUCUGGAGAACCUACAUUGACCAGAGACUUUGCAGCCAGCUCACCCCUCCAACUCCCUGCCCUGGAGUCCCUGACCUGGGAACUUCUGCAUCAGGCUGCUCAAACCUGAACUUGACAAAAUUUCAAAGCACGAAUUCUUUAUGUUGAUAAGACAACGGACAAAGUGCUGAACCUGGAACCUAGAUCACUCGAUGUUGCCUGUAGCUGAGUCCACUUCUGUCACUCACCCUGCAUUUCCCUGCUAGGAGCAAGAGAGAGAAAGCCGGCCAGAAGGCAUGGGUGUGGGCUCAGAUCUGGUUCCUCCUGUUGCCACUGUGAAAGUUGAUCAUACAAAGGUCACUGUUGUCAUAGGCCAGCAGAGUUAGGAGACUAGGGGAAAAAGCAUGUAACGUUGCUCCAAGAAUAUAACUGUCUCCAACCCUGGCUGCUGGAACAAGUGUUGCAACCUGAAACCAGUUUGAUCUAAUAGCUACUGAAACGACCUGCGGAAAUCUAAGACCAGUUUCACCCACCCACGAAUCAGAGCUUGCUGGAUCCCCAAAACGUUUCCAGCGCUAACGAACUUGCUUUCCUAACAAUCCGUUAACAUUUCUCAUUUUUAUGAAACCUCCAACCUUCUCUUUGUUCUUUGGACAUACUGAACACCGCCCAGUCUGUGUGUAUGUCCCAAACUGAAAUUCUUGCUUCCCAAAUAAAACCCUUUAAACUUA
Long non-coding RNA from Mandrillus leucophaeus (drill), 845 nucleotides. RefSeq lists it as uncharacterized. Lineage: Eukaryota; Metazoa; Chordata; Mammalia; Primates; Cercopithecidae. The record is from RefSeq and is a predicted model, not a curated record. The transcript is spliced from 2 exons.